This 445-nucleotide ribosomal RNA is filed under the name uncultured bacterium. Its description in RNAcentral is "SSU rRNA". It matches the Rfam family "Bacterial small subunit ribosomal RNA", at positions 26 to 518 of the family's 1533-position model. The record is from RNAcentral.
AGAACGAACGCUGGCGGCAGGCCUAAUACAUGCAAGUCGAACGCACUCUUCGGAGUGAGUGGCAGACGGGUGAGUAACGCGUGGGAACCUUCCCAAUGGUACGGAAUAACUCCGGGAAACCGGUGCUAAUACCGUAUAAGCCCCUCGGGGGAAAGAUUUAUCGCCAUUGGAUGGGCCCGCGUCGGAUUAGCUAGUUGGUAAGGUAAUGGCUUACCAAGGCUACGAUCCGUAGCUGGUCUGAGAGGAUGAUCAGCCACACUGGGACUGAGACACGGCCCAGACUCCUACGGGAGGCAGCAGUAGGGAAUCUUGGACAAUGGGCGAAAGCCUGAUCCAGCCAUGCCGCGUGAGUGAAGAAGGCCUUAGGGUUGUAAAGCUCUUUUGGCGGGACGAUAAUGACGGUACCCGCAGAAUGAGCCCCGGCUAACUUCGCGCCAGCAGCCGC